RNAcentral lists this ribosomal RNA (253 nucleotides) under uncultured Lactobacillales bacterium. RNAcentral describes it as "partial 16S ribosomal RNA". It matches the Rfam family "Bacterial small subunit ribosomal RNA", at positions 524 to 776 of the family's 1533-position model. The record is from RNAcentral. Lineage: Bacteria; Bacillati; Bacillota; Bacilli; Lactobacillales.
UACGUAGGUGGCAAGCGUUGUCCGGAUUUAUUGGGCGUAAAGCGAGCGCAGGUGGUCUUUUAAGUCUGUUGUGAAAGCCCUCAGCUCAACUGAGGAAGUGCAGCGGAAACUAGGGGACUUGAGUACAGAAGAGGAUAGUGGAACUCCAUGUGUAGCGGUGAAAUGCGUAGAGAUAUGGAAGAACACCAGUGGCGAAGGCGGCUAUCUGGUCUGUUACUGACACUGAGGCGCGAAAGCAUGGGGAGCGAACAGG